GAUAGUGUGGUGUAGUAGCUUGAGCAUUGGACUAAGACUCUGGAGACCAGGGUUCGAAUCCCAGCAGUGACC
This is a non-coding RNA of Phrynosoma platyrhinos (Desert horned lizard), 72 nucleotides long. The record is from the annotation of a GenBank genome assembly. NCBI's taxonomy places the organism in Eukaryota, Metazoa, Chordata, Lepidosauria, Squamata, Phrynosomatidae.